Long non-coding RNA from Oncorhynchus tshawytscha (Chinook salmon), 1416 nucleotides. The record is from Ensembl. NCBI's taxonomy places the organism in Eukaryota, Metazoa, Chordata, Actinopteri, Salmoniformes, Salmonidae.
GUUGAUUCAGUGUGUUGGCAGCAGCCACUCAAUGUUAGUGGUGGCUGUUUAACAGUCUGAUGGCCUUGAGAUAGAAGCUGCUUGAGAGCUGUGUGUUUGAGAGCUAUGCGCUUGAGAACUAUGUGUUUGAGAGUGUGAGUUGGAAUAACACAGAGACACACACACAGAGACACACACACAGAGACACAUACACAGAGACACACACACACACACACACAGAGACACACACACAGAGACACACACACCAAUACACAAUGAAAUGUCUGGCCACUUAUCUGUCUCCCAUAAAAAAAUAUAUGUAAGAUUUCUCCAUUGUAUUUCCCUCCUUAUCCUCAAAUCGUUAUAUUUGGCAAUGAAUACAUUGAUUCUCACACUGAGAAUCUGUCUUAAUCAUCGAUUUGCCUCCUUGCCUUUUCCCUAAGCUUUAGUGCUUCCAGUCUGGUCACUAACUUCCUCAGCUCUGACGUGGCCUUGGGGGAGGAUCAGGUCAUUCCUUAGCAGGGGGAGGAUCAGGUCAUUCCUUAGCAGGGGGAGGAUCAGGUCAUUCCUUAGCAGGGUGAGGAUCAGGUCAUUCCUUAGCAGGGUGAGGAUCAGGUCAUUCCUUAGCAGGGGGAGGAUCAGGUCAUUCCUUAGCAGGGUGAGGCUAAGUGAGGAUAGCUCCUCAACUCUGACAUGGCCUUGGGGGAGGAUCAGGUCAUUCCUUAGCAGGGUGAGGCUAAGUGAGGAUAGCGCCUCAGACGUGUCUGAGAGAGAAUGGCAGAAUACACACAAGAGUGCAUUUUCCAUUUCCCUCUUUAUCUGUUAAGCAGUGAGUAAAUAAACGGUCACUGGUCAAUUACUUGAUUCUGAAAGUUCAUUUGAGUCUUGAACCUAUAAUUAUUUUAACUAGUGUUAUAUUAAAUUUCCUGUUUUAAAACUGACCUUUUCCCGCCCUUUGAACUUCCGCGGUUGUUGAUGCUACGGCCAGGUCCUCCACGUGUCCUGACCUUCAUCAGCGGCCAGGUUCUCCAUGAGUACUGGCCUUCGUCAGCGGCCAGGUUCUCCAUGAGUACUGGCCUUCAUCAGCGGCCAGGUUCUCCAUGUGUACUGGCCUUCAUCAGCGGCCAGGUUCUCCAUGAGUACUGGCCUUCGUCAGCGGCCAGGUUCUCCAUGUGUACUGGCCUUCAUCAGCGGCCAGGUUCUCCAUGUGUACUGGCCUUCGUCAGCUCCCAGGUCCUUGUCUUCGUCUCGAUGCCUUCAGGAACACUGAGGGCUCUGUGGACAUGAGGGGACCCAGCGAGUUCCCUAUGACGCUAGGCGGUGUUCAAAUAUCCCCCCAUGUCUCUUGUGCUAACAAAAAACAAUAAUAUCUGUGGUAUUUACCAUUCUAGCACUUAGUGCACUCACACAGACACACACAGACACACACUCACACAG